GGCAUCUUAGCCAAGUGGUUACGGCGACAGAUUAGAACAUAAUAGUACUUAUCUGUUUCCCUUUGGGAGCGUAGGUUCGAGUCCUGCAGAUGUCA
Jaapia argillacea is the source of this 95-nucleotide transfer RNA. It matches the Rfam family "tRNA". From Rfam's summary of the family: Transfer RNA (tRNA) molecules are approximately 80 nucleotides in length. Their secondary structure includes four short double-helical elements and three loops (D, anti-codon, and T loops). The record is from Rfam. NCBI's taxonomy places the organism in Eukaryota, Fungi, Basidiomycota, Agaricomycetes, Jaapiales, Jaapiaceae.